This 673-nucleotide ribosomal RNA is filed under the name uncultured Vibrionaceae bacterium. RNAcentral's name for it is "bacterial SSU rRNA". It matches the Rfam family "Bacterial small subunit ribosomal RNA", at positions 1 to 671 of the family's 1533-position model. Lineage: Bacteria; Pseudomonadati; Pseudomonadota; Gammaproteobacteria; Vibrionales; Vibrionaceae. The record is from RNAcentral.
UAGAGUUUGAUCAUGGCUCAGAUUGAACGCUUGCGGCAGGCUUAACACAUGCAAGUCGAGCGGUAACAGGAAUAGCUUGCUAUUUGCUGACGAGCGGCGGACGGGUGAGUAAUGCUUGGGAAUAUGCCUUAUGGUGGGGGACAACAGUUGGAAACGACUGCUAAUACCGCAUAAUGUCUACGGACCAAAGGGGGGGAUCUUCGGACCUCUCGCCAUUUGAUUAGCCCAAGUGAGAUUAGCUAGUUGGUAAGGUAAUGGCUUACCAAGGCGACGAUCUCUAGCUGGUUUGAGAGGAUGAUCAGCCACACUGGGACUGAGACACGGCCCAGACUCCUACGGGAGGCAGCAGUGGGGAAUAUUGCACAAUGGGGGAAACCCUGAUGCAGCCAUGCCGCGUGUGUGAAGAAGGCCUUCGGGUUGUAAAGCACUUUCAGUUGUGAGGAAAGGUGUGUAGUUAAUAGCUGCAUACUAUGACGUUAACAACAGAAGAAGCACCGGCUAACUUCGCGCCAGCAGCCGCGGUAAUACGAGGGGUGCAAGCGUUAAUCGGAAUUACUGGGCGUAAAGCGUUCGUAGGCGGUUGAAUAAGCAAGAUGUGAAAGCCCAGGGCUCAACCUUGGAACUGCAUUUUGAACUGUUCGACUAGAGUACUGUAGAGGGGAGUAGAAUUUCA